UGGGGAAUAUUGCACAAUGGGCGAAAGCCUGAUGCAGCAACGCCGCGUGAGUGAUGAAGGUCUUCGGAUUGUAAAGCUCUGUCUUUUGGGACGAUAAUGACGGUACCAAAGGAGGAAGCCACGGCUAACUACGUGCCAGCAGCCGCGGUAAUACGUAGGUGGCGAGCGUUGUCCGGAUUUACUGGGCGUAAAGGGUGCGUAGGCGGAUGUUUAAGUGAGAUGUGAAAUACCCGGGCUUAACUUGGGUGCUGCAUUUCAAACUGGAUAUCUAGAGUGCAGGAGAGGAGAAUGGAAUUCCUAGUGUAACGGUGAAAUGCGUAGAGAUUAGGAAGAACACCAGUGGCGAAGGCGAUUCUCUGGACUGUAACUGACGCUGAGGCACGAAAGCGUGGGUAGCAAACAGGAUUAGAUACCCUGGUAGUCCACGCCGUAAACGAUGAGUACUAGGUGUAGGAGGUAUCGACCCCUUCUGUGCCGCAGUAAACACAUUAAGUACUCCGCCUGGGAAGUACGAUCGCAAGAUUAAAACUCUAAAGUGAA
Molecule: ribosomal RNA, 540 nt
Filed under: uncultured bacterium
Lineage: Bacteria
Description: partial 16S ribosomal RNA
Rfam family: Bacterial small subunit ribosomal RNA
Source: RNAcentral